GACGGAGGAUGCAAGCGUUAUCCGGAAUUAUUGGGCGUAAAGCGUCCGCAGGUGGACAUACAAGUCUGCUGUCAAAGUGCAGAGCUUAACUCUGUAAAGGCGGUGGAAACUGUAGGUCUUGAGUAUGGUAGGGGUAGAGGGAAUUCCCGGUGUAGCGGUGAAAUGCGUAGAUAUCGGGAAGAACACCAGUGGCGAAAGCGCUCUACUGGGCCAUAACUGACACUGAGGAACGAAAGCUAGGGGAGCGAAAGGG
This 253-nucleotide ribosomal RNA is filed under the name uncultured bacterium. RNAcentral's name for it is "partial 16S ribosomal RNA". It matches the Rfam family "Bacterial small subunit ribosomal RNA", at positions 524 to 776 of the family's 1533-position model. The record is from RNAcentral.